AUUGAACGCUGGCGGCAGGCCUAACACAUGCAAGUCGAGCGGUAACAGGAAUUAGCUUGCUAAUUUGCUGACGAGCGGCGGACGGGUGAGUAAUGCCUGGGAAUAUGCCUUAGUGUGGGGGAUAACUAUUGGAAACGAUAGCUAAUACCGCAUAACGUCUUCGGACCAAAGAGGGGGACCUUCGGGCCUCUCGCGCUAAGAUUAGCCCAGGUGGGAUUAGCUAGUUGGUGAGGUAAAGGCUCACCAAGGCAACGAUCCCUAGCUGGUCUGAGAGGAUGAUCAGCCACACUGGAACUGAGACACGGUCCAGACUCCUACGGGAGGCAGCAGUGGGGAAUAUUGCACAAUGGGGGAAACCCUGAUGCAGCCAUGCCGCGUGUAUGAAGAAGGCCUUCGGGUUGUAAAGUACUUUCAGUCGUGAGGAAGACAUUGUAGUUAAUAGCUGCAGUGUUUGACGUUAGCGACAGAAGAAGCACCGGCUAACUCCGUGCCAGCAGCCGCGGUAAUACGGAGGGUGCGAGCGUUAAUCGGAAUUACUGGGCGUAAAGCGCAUGCAGGCGGUCUGUUAAGCAAGAUGUGAAAGCCCGGGGCUCAACCUCGGAACCGCAUUUUGAACUGGCAGACUAGAGUCUUGUAGAGGGGGGUAGAAUUUCACGUGUAGCGGUGAAAUGCGUAGAGAUCUGAAGAAUACCGGUGGCGAAAGCGGCCCCCUGGACAAAGACUGACGCUCAGAUGCGAAAGCGUGGGGAGCAAACAGGAUUAGAUACCCUGGUAGUCCACGCCGUAAACGAUGUCUACUUGAAGGUUGUGGCCUUGAGCCGUGGCUUUCGGAGCUAACGCGUUAAGUAGACCGCCUGGGGAGUACGGUCGCAAGAUUAAAACUCAAAUGAAUUGACGGGGACCCGCACAAGUGGUGGAGCAUGUGGUUUAAUUCGAAGAUACGCGAAGAACCUUACCUAGCCUUGACAUAUUUAAGAACUCCGUAGAGAUACAGAGGUGCCUUCGGGAGCUUUCUUACAGGUGCUGCACGGCUGUCGUCAGCUCGUGUCGUGAGAUGUUGGGUUAAGUCCCGCAACGAGCGCAACCCUCGUCACUAGUUACUAACGGUUCGGCCGAGGACUCUAGUGAGACUGCCUUCGCAAGGAGGAGGAAGGUGAGGACGACGUCAAGUCAUCAUGGCCCUUACGGCUAGGGCAACACACGUGCUACAAUGGCCAGGACAGUGAGACGCGAUACCGCGAGGUGGAGCAAAUCUAUAAACCUGGUCUCAGUUCGGAUUGUAGUCUGCAACUCGACUACAUGAAGCUGGAAUCACUAGUAAUCGUAGAUCAGCUAUGCUACGGUGAAUACGUUCCCGGGUCUUGUACUCACCGCCCGUCACACCAUGGGAGUUGAUUUCACCCGAAGCGGGGAAGCUAAACUGGCUACCCUCCACGGUGGAAUUAGCGACUGGGGUG
This 1457-nucleotide ribosomal RNA is filed under the name uncultured bacterium. Its description in RNAcentral is "bacterial SSU rRNA". It matches the Rfam family "Bacterial small subunit ribosomal RNA". The record is from RNAcentral.